AACGCGAAGAACCUUACCUGGUCUUGACAUCCACGGAAGUUUUCAGAGAUGAGAAUGUGCCUUCGGGAACCGUGAGACAGGUGCUGCAUGGCUGUCGUCAGCUCGUGUUGUGAAAUGUUGGGUUAAGUCCCGCAACGAGCGCAACCCUUAUCCUUUGUCGCCAGCGGUCCGGCCGGGAACUCAAAGAAGACUGCCAGUGAUAAACUGGAGGAAGGUGGGGAUGACGUCAAGUCAUCAUGGCCCUUACGACCAGGGCUACACACGUGCUACAAUGGCGCAUACAAAGAGAAGCGACCUCGCGAGAGCAAGCGGACCUCAUAAAGUGCGUCGUAGUCCGGAUUGGAGUCUGCAACUCGACUCCAUGAAGUCGGAAUCGCUAGUAAUCGUGGAUCAGAAUGCCACGGUGAAUACGUUCCCGGGUCUUGUACACACGC
This 434-nucleotide ribosomal RNA is filed under the name uncultured Escherichia sp. RNAcentral's name for it is "bacterial SSU rRNA". It matches the Rfam family "Bacterial small subunit ribosomal RNA", at positions 958 to 1393 of the family's 1533-position model. The record is from RNAcentral. Lineage: Bacteria; Pseudomonadati; Pseudomonadota; Gammaproteobacteria; Enterobacterales; Enterobacteriaceae.